AGUUUGAUCCUGGCUCAGGAUGAACGCUGGCAGAGCGCCUAACACAUGCAAGUCGAACGGGUUUAUUGAGUAGCUUGCUACUUAAUAAACUAGUGGCAAACGGGCGAGUAACGCGUACCUAAUCUGCCCCGAAGUUGAGUAUAACUAUGGAGACAUAGCUAAUGCUGAAUGUUCUCUUUUGUCUGAAAUGACUUAAGAGCAAAGGAGAAAUCCGCUUUGGGAGGGGGGUGCGUCCUAUCAGGUAGUUGGUGAGGUAAUUGCUCACCAAGCCUAUGACGGGUAGCCGGUCUGAGAGGAUGUCCGGCCGCAAUGGGACUGAGACACGGCCCAUACUCCUACGGGAGGCAGCAGUGGGGAAUCUUGCACAAUGGACGAAAGUCUGAUGCAGCGACUCUGCGUGAAGGAUGAAGCCUUACGGGGUGUAAACUUCUUUUCUGGUGGAAGACGAAUGACGGUACACCAGGAAUAAGGGACGGCUAACUACGUGCCAGCAGCCGCGGUAAUACGUAGGUCCCGAGCGUUAUCCGGAGUUACUGGGCGUAAAGUGUUCGUAGCCUGAUAUGUAAGUCCGUUUUCAAAUAUCUCGGCUCAACCGAGAAAAGGGAAUGGAUACUGUAUAUCUGGAGGUCUUUGGGGGUUAGUGGAAUUUCCAGUGGAGCGGUGAAAUGCGUUGAUAUUGGAAA
Molecule: ribosomal RNA, 683 nt
Filed under: uncultured bacterium
Lineage: Bacteria
Description: bacterial SSU rRNA
Rfam family: Bacterial small subunit ribosomal RNA
Source: RNAcentral